RNAcentral lists this ribosomal RNA (301 nucleotides) under uncultured bacterium. Its description in RNAcentral is "partial 16S ribosomal RNA". It matches the Rfam family "Bacterial small subunit ribosomal RNA", at positions 509 to 807 of the family's 1533-position model. The record is from RNAcentral.
CAGCAGCCGCGGGAAUACAGAGGGUGCGAGCGUUAAUCGGAUUUACUGGGCGUAAAGCGUGCGUAGGCGGCUAAUUGAGUCGGAUGUGAAAUCCCCGAGCUUAACUUGGGAAUUGCAUUCGAUACUGGUAAGCUAGAGUGUGGGAGAGGAUGGUAGAAUUCCAGGUGUAGCGGUGAAAUGCGUAGAGAUCUGGAGGAAUACCGAUGGCGAAGGCAGCCAUCUGGCCUAACACUGACGCUGAGGUACGAAAGCAUGGGGAGCAAACAGGAUUAGAUACCCGCGUAGUCCCUGUCUCUUAUAC